AGCGUAGACGGCAUGGCAAGUCUGAAGUGAAAGCCCGGGGCUCAACCCCGGGACUGCUUUGGAAACUGUCAGGCUAGAGUGCUGGAGAGGUAAGUGGAAUUCCUAGUGUAGCGGUGAAAUGCGUAGAUAUUAGGAGGAACACCAGUGGCGAAGGCGGCUUACUGGACAGUAACUGACGUUGAGGCUCGAAAGCGUGGGAGCAAACA
RNAcentral lists this ribosomal RNA (206 nucleotides) under uncultured bacterium. RNAcentral's name for it is "partial 16S ribosomal RNA". It matches the Rfam family "Bacterial small subunit ribosomal RNA", at positions 568 to 774 of the family's 1533-position model. The record is from RNAcentral.